GAUGAACGCUAGCGGCAGGCUUAAUACAUGCAAGUCGAACGGUGACAUGAGUAGCAAUACUUGAUGACGAGUGGCGCACGGGUGCGUAACGCGUAUGCAAUCUACCUUCAACUGGUGAAUAGCCCGAAGAAAUUCGGAUUAAUACACCAUAGUAUAUUAGAGUGGCAUCACUUUAAUAUUAAAACUCCGGUGGUUGAAGAUGAGCAUGCGUGACAUUAGCUAGUUGGUGAGGUAAUGGCUCACCAAGGCUACGAUGUCUAGGGGAUCUGAGAGGAUUAACCCCA
Molecule: ribosomal RNA, 284 nt
Filed under: uncultured bacterium
Lineage: Bacteria
Description: partial 16S ribosomal RNA
Rfam family: Bacterial small subunit ribosomal RNA
Source: RNAcentral